AGGACGAACGCUGGCGGCGUGCUUAACACAUGCAAGUCGAGCGGAAAGGCCCUUCGGGGUACUCGAGCGGCGAACGGGUGAGUAACACGUGAGUAAUCUGCCCCUAGCUCUGGGAUAGCUCCGGGAAACCGGGAUUAAUACCGGAUACGACCACCUUAGACAUCUUUUGUGGUGGAAAGAAUUUCGGCUAGGGAUGAGCUCGCGGCCUAUCAGCUUGUUGGUGGGGUAAUGGCCUACCAAGGCAAUGAUCGGUA
Molecule: ribosomal RNA, 254 nt
Filed under: uncultured bacterium
Lineage: Bacteria
Description: partial small subunit ribosomal RNA
Rfam family: Bacterial small subunit ribosomal RNA
Source: RNAcentral